ACUAUAUGCCCCGGGCUUGAUCCCAACCCUAAUAAUCUAGUGGCAAGCACAACCUUCUACUCAGAAAACACAAGACCCAUGCUCUGUUUGGCAAGGAUUGAAACAGACCCAGCGGACAGGACCCAACUGCGGUUGACAGUAGCCAGGAGAUUCAACUCAAACAUUUGAGUUGAAAGAAUUCAUUAAAGAACAAUUAAUUGCCAUUCCAAUGGGCUCUCGAGCUCUGGUUCCAGCGGUGCCAGUACCAGCUGCACCUUUAGCUCAACCGCCUAGCCCAGCGGUGGAUGCUAAUGAUCCAGGAGCUAUUUUAGCGGGUUUACUUUGAUUCGACCUGGUAAGACAAACGCUUGCAGUUUCACGAUGUGAAGAUCAUCUCUGAUAUGCAUGAGUAAAAUCAGAAGAUGUGAGAGGGCUUGCAGAGGCAGAGUAAUAGUGAGCUAGUUUUAUCCAAUUAAUUAAUGCCUCUGUCCGUCUGUUUGCGAGUUUGGUCUGUAGAUCCCGUUCUGAUCUAUACAGAUUGUAAUUUUGCAUUCUUUAUGCACACGUUUUGUUUUGGGUGUGUAUCCUCUUUUAUCCUUU
Long non-coding RNA from Raphanus sativus (radish), 579 nucleotides. RefSeq lists it as uncharacterized. NCBI's taxonomy places the organism in Eukaryota, Viridiplantae, Streptophyta, Magnoliopsida, Brassicales, Brassicaceae. The record is from RefSeq and is a predicted model, not a curated record. The transcript has 4 exons.